CCUACGGGUGGCAGCAGUGGGGAAUUUUGGACAAUGGGCGCAAGCCUGAUCCAGCCAUGCCGCGUGUCUGAAGAAGGCCUUCGGGUUGUAAAGGACUUUUGUUAGGGUAGAAAAGGAUAGUUUUAAUACCAUUAUCUGCUGACGGUACCUAAAGAAUAAGCACCGGCUAACUACGUGCCAGCAGCCGAGGUAAUACGUAGGGUGCGAGCGUGAAUCGGAAUUACUGGGCGUAAAGCGAGCGCAGACUGUUUAUUAAGCAAGAUGUGAAAUCCCCGAGCUUAACUUGGGAACUGCGUUUUGACCUGGUAAGAUAGAGUAUGUCAGAGGGGGGUAGAAUUCCACGUGUAGCAGUGAAAUGCGUAGAGAUGUGGAGGAAUACCGAUGGCGAAGGCAGCCCCCUGGGAUAAUACUGACGUUCAUGCUCGAAAGCGUGGGUAGCAAACAGGAUUAGAUACCCGAGUAGUC
RNAcentral lists this ribosomal RNA (465 nucleotides) under uncultured Kingella sp. RNAcentral describes it as "bacterial SSU rRNA". It matches the Rfam family "Bacterial small subunit ribosomal RNA", at positions 338 to 795 of the family's 1533-position model. Lineage: Bacteria; Pseudomonadati; Pseudomonadota; Betaproteobacteria; Neisseriales; Neisseriaceae. The record is from RNAcentral.